RNAcentral lists this ribosomal RNA (423 nucleotides) under uncultured Glomeromycotina. RNAcentral describes it as "SSU rRNA". It matches the Rfam family "Eukaryotic small subunit ribosomal RNA", at positions 671 to 1092 of the family's 1831-position model. Lineage: Eukaryota; Fungi; Glomeromycota. The record is from RNAcentral.
CGGUACGUACUGGCAUUGUUGGUUUCUCCCUUCUGACGAACCAUGAUGUCAUUUAUUUGGUGUUGUGGGGAAUCAGGACUGUUACUUUGAAAAAAUUAGAGUGUUUAAAGCAGGCUCACGCUUGAAUACAUUAGCAUGGAAUAAUGAAAUAGGACGUUUGAUUCUAUUUUGUUGGUUUCUAGGAUCGACGUAAUGAUUAAUAGGGAUAGUUGGGGGCAUUAGUAUUCAAUUGUCAGAGGUGAAAUUCUUGGAUUUAUUGAAGACUAACUACUGCGAAAGCAUUUGCCAAGGAUGUUUUCAUUAAUCAAGAACGAAAGUUAGGGGAUCGAAGACGAUCAGAUACCGUCGUAGUCUUAACCAUAAACUAUGCCGACUAGGGAUCGGAUGAUGCUAAUUUUUUAAUGACUCAUUCGGCGCCUUACG